GGACCCUGGAGCUGCCAGCCCAUCCUAACUUCCCUGGCUUCUUCCUGGUGUGGUCUCAGGUUCCCUCAGUCUCCAACCACUGUGGACUUCAGCUACUUAAUUCCUGAUCAGCCCCUUCUACCUCUGCUCAACAACACAAUACAGCCUUUCUUGUAUGACUUCUACCCAAGAGCCUUCUCUGCUCUCCUCGAAGAUUCCUAAGCCCUGAGAUGAAAUGACUGUUCAACUGUUCGUGAAGUUCCCAGAAUCACUGAUGCACCUGGGCUGUGGCAGAUGGCCCAGGGCACUGACCACGCGAGACGGACUCCAAGAAUUGCCCAGCUGCCAGUGACCUCCCGAGCAGGGAGGAGCAGCGCAUAUGCCUCCAGGAAUGUAGGACUGGGAGACACCAGGCCAGAAAUUCUCAGGGAGGCUAUGGCUUCCAGAAGAUUCUGAGAGCCCCAGCUCCCAUUCCUUGCCAUCCUUCUAUAUUAAAGGGAAAACAACCCAGGA
This is a long non-coding RNA of Mastomys coucha (southern multimammate mouse), 492 nucleotides long. RefSeq lists it as uncharacterized. NCBI's taxonomy places the organism in Eukaryota, Metazoa, Chordata, Mammalia, Rodentia, Muridae. The record is from RefSeq and is a predicted model, not a curated record. The transcript is spliced from 3 exons.